UUCUCUCUGGAGGUAGUGAAGGAGAAGUAUAAAGUAGUAUAACAUGGAAAGACUUCAGUAAAGUCCAGAUAGCUGAAGAUCUGUUGGAGAAAGUGUACUUUUUUAGAAAAGUGGCCAAGGCUGAACUCGCAAUGAUGCAAUGGGCGUUAGGUAACAGAAGACACGCUUUAUGCCUCCGGAGAUCUGUUUGUGUCCUGCUGCUUUGAAAGUCUCACAAUGGAGCGAUGAUUAUGGCGCCGCGCCUUCGUAGCAGCGGUUGUAACUGUGAUAAAAUAAAAAAAAAAGAAAAGAAAAUUCACAGUCUCAGCAAUCGUACAUGAGGUGUUAACGUUAUUUUUCCACCUCCUGCGUGCACAAUGGUAAAUUAACGCGCAAUUAGCAUGAGACAUAAGAGAA
This is a long non-coding RNA of Acanthopagrus latus (yellowfin seabream), 396 nucleotides long. RefSeq lists it as uncharacterized. The record is from RefSeq and is a predicted model, not a curated record. NCBI's taxonomy places the organism in Eukaryota, Metazoa, Chordata, Actinopteri, Spariformes, Sparidae. The transcript has 2 exons.